UGUUCAAGGAACGUACUGUUUCCAUCAGUGGCUUACUCAUGCAGUAAGAUGUACUGCUCCUACACCUUGUAAUAAAAAGCAUAUGCAUCGACACAUAGCAGCUGAUAUUCUUGCUUAUUUUCUCAUCACAGAGGUAGAUGGGGCACAUGAACCUAUAUGCUCACACAAAUCAACGUGACCAACUACUGUGGAGACAUGGCAACGAAUUCUUUGUUUACCUUGUACACCACAAGUGCGAGGUUUGCGCAUUCAUUUGACUUCAUGAAACCCUAUUUAUACUACAGGCUUUACGGCAAUGCUUGCAUGCAGUGCGGUGAAGCGCUCGACAAAACUGCACAUAUAUUAUAUGGUUUGUUUGAUAUUAACUCGAGAUGCAAACGUUUGUGCAGGCAGGCAAGCAAUGUUUCCAUUCACACAGCGCACCAAAAGAGCGUGGUAUAUGCAUUGAUCUGGUUUCAUGACAUCGUGCUUUUGCCACUAGCUUUACGGCAGUGCUUGUGUAUAGUGCUGCGAAGCACGACGGAACUGCACAUUAUUAUACGGUGUGCUCGAAAUCUACUCGAGAUGCAGACGUUUGUGCAGGCAGGAAACGAAUGAUUUAAUUCACGUAGCACAACACGAGAGCGCGCUCUAUGCAGUCCUUUCAUUUAAUAAAACUCUAUUUCUGCCACAGGCUUCACAGCAAUGCUUGUGUAGGGGGCUGUGAAGCUCGACGCAGCUGUAACAACAUCCCACGGUACACCCGAUUUUUACCGCGUUUGUUUUAAAGGGCCCCUCACAGGCUACAUAACAAAUUUUGGUUAUACGCUGAAAGUUGUUACGUGCCCUCUAAGAAGUGUUCUACCGCAAGCAUUUUUCAAAUUGGUUCAUUAACAGCAGAGAGAGAAUUAUUGAAGUGCCGCGAACACAUGAUUUCAGGAGGCAAGCGUCGCCGCCUAUAUAAACACUCUCUCGACUUUCCCCGUUUCGCCUGUGUAAGCGAAUUUCCUUCACUGCGUUCUCCCAUACCGGAGCCGAGGGGUCGCGCGGCGGGUAUACCCUGCCGUCUUCUUUUUUUCACCGUCACCGGCACACUUCCGGUGACGGUGUCGUGCGAGCUGUUGCGCUUGUCUCGUUUCCUGUAGCGGACGAUAAUGCGCGCUCUACACGAGAACACGUGAUUAGCGGUAUAAGUCAGUGCCCCAGCACUGAGGCAAACGCGAGGGGAUGAAGGAGCAUGAUCGCAAUGCUGGAACACAGUAGACAAUGACGUAUAGUUUCGUUCUCUGCGGGCGUGCAAACGUCGGAAAAAGGAGACGAAAUGGAAAUUCAUAUUGCUACAGUGCGAAGUAAAACAAAAGCACCCAGACAUUCGGGUUGUAUUUUUCAUUAUUUCUCUAAACUUUAAUUAGUCCACUGAAGCAACGUACAGAUUCAACAAAUAACUGAUGCUGCCUUGAAUCUAAGUCACGUGUCACUCUGAAUGACAUCACAGCACAGCCUGUGCUCCUACGCAGCAGCAAAGUUAUGGGCAUUCAUCUGCUUGCUGCUGCGAUAACAUUAUCACACUUGAACUCAGAGUGAUUGUUCUACAAGUGAUCAACAUCAGCUAAACAAGGGAGGCCUCUGCCUGCAGCCAGUGUUUCAACAAGAGGACUAGUUGACAAAGAUGAGUUUGUCACAACGUUGGCUCCAGCCCAAAACAUUCCUUAUUCGACUUGUAUUUACAUCUUCCUGUGAAUCUGUUUGUUGCUCCAACUCCAAUACACAAAGAUGAGUGGAA
This is a long non-coding RNA of Dermacentor andersoni, 1762 nucleotides long. RefSeq lists it as uncharacterized. NCBI's taxonomy places the organism in Eukaryota, Metazoa, Arthropoda, Arachnida, Ixodida, Ixodidae. The record is from RefSeq and is a predicted model, not a curated record.